This 253-nucleotide ribosomal RNA is filed under the name uncultured bacterium. Its description in RNAcentral is "partial 16S ribosomal RNA". It matches the Rfam family "Bacterial small subunit ribosomal RNA", at positions 524 to 776 of the family's 1533-position model. The record is from RNAcentral.
UACGUAGGGGGCAAGCGUUGUCCGGAUUUAUUGGGCGUAAAGAGCGUGUAGGCGGCCAGGUAGGUCAGCUGUGAAAACUCGAGGCUCAACCUCGAGACGUCGGUUGAAACCACCUGGCUAGAGUCCGGAAGAGGAGAGUGGAAUUCCUGGUGUAGCGGUGAAAUGCGCAGAUAUCAGGAAGAACACCAAUGGCGAAGGCAGCUCUCUGGGCAUGUCCUGACGCUGAGGAGCGAAAGUGUGGGGAGCGAACAGG